RNAcentral lists this transfer RNA (74 nucleotides) under Caudoviricetes sp. RNAcentral's name for it is "tRNA-Lys". It matches the Rfam family "tRNA". Rfam says of the family: Transfer RNA (tRNA) molecules are approximately 80 nucleotides in length. Lineage: Duplodnaviria; Heunggongvirae; Uroviricota; Caudoviricetes. The record is from RNAcentral.
GUGCCUUUAGCUCAGUUGGUUAGAGCAACGCACUUUUAAUGCGUGGGUCGGGCAUUCGAGUUGCCCAAGGCGCA